GACGAACGCUGGCGGCGUGCUUAACACAUGCCAGUCGAACGGAAAGGCCCUGCUUUUGUGGGGUGCUCGAGUGGCGAACGGGUGAGUAACACGUGAGUAACCUGCCCUUGACUUUGGGAUAACUUCAGGAAACUGGGGCUAAUACCGGAUAGGAGCUCCUGCUGCAUGGUGGGGGUUGGAAAGUUUCGGCGGUUGGGGAUGGACUCGCGGCUUAUCAGCUUGUUGGUGGGGUAGUGGCUUACCAAGGCUUUGACGGGUAGCCGGCCUGAGAGGGUGACCGGCCACAUUGGGACUGAGAUACGGCCCAGACUCCUACGGGAGGCAACAGUGGGGAAUAUUGCACAAUGGGCGGAAGCCUGAUGCAGCAACGCCGCGUGCGGGAUGACGGCCUUCGGGUUGUAAACCGCUUUCGCCUGUGACGAAGCGUGAGUGACGGUAAUGGGUAAAGAAGCACCGGCUAACUACGUG
RNAcentral lists this ribosomal RNA (468 nucleotides) under uncultured bacterium. RNAcentral describes it as "partial 16S ribosomal RNA". It matches the Rfam family "Bacterial small subunit ribosomal RNA", at positions 28 to 507 of the family's 1533-position model. The record is from RNAcentral.